UCAGCAACUCGUUUUCUCAAUAUGCAGAUACUUAGAGUCAAUUUGUGAGUUUUGUACAAGAUGGAACACCACAAAUCCUAAACAUUUAGACUCCUAUUUAUACUAAUUCGAAAUAAUUGUAACAAACGGUCUCUUCUCCAAAAAAUGAUACGUUUUCGUCUGCAUGCACUUCAUUAUCCAUAGCUUUCCACACGUGUUCCUAAAGAAUCAGAUAAGGCCAAAAAGCAGUUAUGAGCCUUAUUUGAAUUCUCGCUCCAUCGAACACAACUCCAAUCGAAAUACCUCUGGUCGAAUUACAGUUUGAACUAAAAAAAUAUUUCUAAGUCCCAAACGAGCAUUUCCCUCUACGCAAGGGGUUCCUUCUACUAAAGUUCCUCUUGUCGAAAGAAUUAUUUUCAAGUAUUCUUUUCAGAAUAUUUCCCUCGGCCUUUCUAGUUCUUAUCAAAUAUUUCCUUAGCGUUGAAAUUCCCGCUAACAGAUAUCCGAUAGGGCUCAAGUGAAGAUACCCCAUAGUGCUCAAUCAAAGAUAUUGGUAGGGUAACAAUGAUACCCAGUAGGGCUCAAGCGAAGAUAUCUCGUAGGAUUCAAGUGAAGAUACCCCUUAGGAUGGAAAUGAUACCCUAUAAGCCGAAAAUGAUACCUCGUACGAUCAAUCAAAGAUAUAUCGUAGGGUGGCAAUGAUAUCAUGUAGGACUCAAACAAAUAUACCUCAUAGGCGCAACAAGAUAUCCUUGAAAUGAAAGAAUUUAGUAUUCCUUUGAUUUGGGCACUAAUGCAUCUUUAUGAUCAGAAUUUGUGUUGACACCAUUACUAUCCACAUCUAGUGGGUUUGAACCACUAAUCUGAAGAACUCAAAUAUUUUCUUUGAAGGAAUGUUGUAUACUGAUAUAUUUUUUAAUGGACUCGUAUCUGCUCAUUGAAGCUUUAAUUUAGACAUUAAUGCAUCAUCAAAACCUUUAGCGCUGGUUCAUUAUUGAAACAUAAUAGAAAAUUUUUCACUAACCUGUUUUCAUUGUCGGAAGAAGCUAUGACUUGAUAAUUUUUUUUUGAAAGGCCAAAAGGAAAGAAAAAGCAAACAACAAGGCAGCAAACAACAACCUGCUAUAGUAAAUUAUGAAGAUUCUGG
Molecule: long non-coding RNA, 1126 nt
Filed under: Lathyrus oleraceus (garden pea)
Lineage: Eukaryota; Viridiplantae; Streptophyta; Magnoliopsida; Fabales; Fabaceae
Description: Pisum sativum (pea) long non-coding RNA (PSAT_LNC028116)
Source: RNAcentral